This 208-nucleotide unclassified non-coding RNA is filed under the name Hevea brasiliensis (rubber tree). It matches the Rfam family "Eukaryotic small subunit ribosomal RNA", at positions 1459 to 1669 of the family's 1831-position model. Lineage: Eukaryota; Viridiplantae; Streptophyta; Magnoliopsida; Malpighiales; Euphorbiaceae. The record is from RNAcentral.
GGUCUGUGAUGCCCUUAGAUGUCCUGGGCUGCACGCGCGCUACAAUGAAGGUAUCAACGUGUAUUUCCUAGGCCGAGAGGUCCGGGUAAACCGCUGAACCACCUUCUUGCUUGGGAUUGUGAACUGAAACUGUUCACAUGAACCUGGAAUUCCCAGUAAGUGCGAGUCAUUAACUCGCAUUGAUUACGUCCCUGCCCUUUGUACACAC